Molecule: long non-coding RNA, 1621 nt
Filed under: Homo sapiens (human)
Lineage: Eukaryota; Metazoa; Chordata; Mammalia; Primates; Hominidae
Description: HSALNT0406789
Source: RNAcentral
ACCUGGGACACGGAGGUUGCAGUGAGACGAGAUUGCCCCAUCGCACUCCAGCCUGCAACAGAGCGAGACUCCUUAACAAGGGAGGCUAUUCUGACACCUGCUACCAUGUGGAAGAAGCUUGACAAUAUUGACCAAUCAGCCAGACACAGAAAGACAAGUCCUGUGUGAUUCCACUUCGAGGAGGUCCCUCGAGUCACCAGAGUCACAGAGACAGAAAGUAUAACGCAGCAGCGUACACUGCCCAGCCCGGGCUUCGUUUCCACUUUCUGUGACCUGGUGUGGCGGUGAGUCUUACUCAGCGUGCUUGAGCCGAAAUGUCACCAGCUGCCCGCCGACCUGGGAUGACACCUUGGGCCGUUCUGUUUUCUCCCGUUCACCGGUCAAGACGCUGAAACUCGGGAGCUUUUGGCGGCCGAGCUGCGUGAAGGGACUUCAAGAGACGAGGAGACGGACCCCGUGGAAACCUCUCCCACCUGGCGAUUGUAGGGGAAGGAGCUUCUAUUCUUGACCCAGCCCACGACACGUGCCGGGGCUGUCAGCGCCGUGAGAGGCACCUGUGUCUCCCCGAGCUGAGGACGGAUGACAUUUGUACCUACAGGGGUAAAAAAAGAUAAAGCAAACACGGAACAGCACACUCCUCCCGGCCUUCCUUCUUCUGACACCGUUUUCCUUUAGAAGAUCUGAAACUACAAGUCAGGACAUGACACGUGGAGCGUCCCAGGCACGCGCAGCCUCUGCUGUUUGAUUUCCGACGUGAGUCUAUAGCAAGAAGGUUGCCGUCUGCAAGCCAGGAAGGGAGUCCUCACCAGGAGCUGAGAUGUUGCUACUUUGAUCUUGGACCUCCAGUCUUCAUGAUUUCUUUACGUUGCUGUGAAAACCUGGAUGUUGGGGGCUCUGUCUGUGUAUCGUAGACGGAGUUUUGAAUUGCUCCAGUGAAACACAAGUAUUUUACCUUACGCUGUCAACCUGCUGGGGGAAGCGUGAAGACAGUUUAACCUUCUGGCUCCGGUAAUCAUCUUGUCUCAGAGACCUCGGAGAGCUCCCAGAGCCUGGCUGCCACGGUGGUUCUAUAUACCCUCCAGCCCUGGCCUGCCUUGGGACACCCCUCUCCGCCUGCCGGCCCCAGAAUUUCCCCACACACGCGGUCAUCACAGCCCGAGAUGUUUAAUGACGGCUUCAUGCACCAGGCUAUUGCCCUAAACACGGGUGACAGGCCAAACACACACUAAUUACCUAACUCAAUUCAAGCCCGCCUGGCCCCGUGGAAAGGCUGAGCUGGGGAUGCACGCAGGUGCCCCGUCGUUACCUCCGGAUGUCAAAUUGAAGUGAGGUUUUCCCGCAUGAGCGGGGAGAGCUGUUUCUACGCACCAAGAUUUCCACGGUUUGCAGGAGAAAGAGUUUUGUGUCUGCCCUCUGGACAGCCCUGUCAGUUUUAUCAAGCGUGUCUGAUUAAGGAAUAUUUAAAGUGAAAAACAACACAAUCCCGGCCCUCCUACGGCCCCCGCCUUCCCUCUGUGUCUGCGGUCUGUACCCUACGAACGCCUAGGACGCUAGACGGGAUCCCUCCCCACGGAGCUAUAUAGGAAGGGUCUUGCUCUGUCACCUGGGCUGGAGUACCCUG